UACAGAGGGGGCAAGCGUUGUUCGGAAUUACUGGGCGUAAAGGGCGCGUAGGCGGCCUACUAAGUCAUACGUGAAAUCCCACGGCUCAACCGUGGAACUGCGUCUGAGACUGGAAGGCUUGAAUUCGGGAGAGGGAUGCGGAAUUCCAGGUGUAGCGGUGAAAUGCGUAGAUAUCUGGAGGAACACCGGUGGCGAAGGCGGCAUCCUGGACCGACAUUGACGCUGAGGCGCGAAAGCCAGGGGAGCAAACGGGAUUAGAUACCCCGGUAGUCCUGGCCCUAAACGAUGAAUGCUUGGUGUGGCGGGUAUCGAUCCCUGCCGUGCCGAAGCUAACGCAUUAAGCAUUCCGCCUGGGGAGUACGGUCGCAAGGCUGAA
Molecule: ribosomal RNA, 376 nt
Filed under: uncultured bacterium
Lineage: Bacteria
Description: bacterial SSU rRNA
Rfam family: Bacterial small subunit ribosomal RNA
Source: RNAcentral